RNAcentral lists this ribosomal RNA (497 nucleotides) under uncultured bacterium. RNAcentral's name for it is "partial 16S ribosomal RNA". It matches the Rfam family "Bacterial small subunit ribosomal RNA", at positions 28 to 507 of the family's 1533-position model. The record is from RNAcentral.
GAUGAACGCUGGCGGCGUGCCUAAUACAUGCAAGUCGAGCGAACGGACGAGAAGCUUGCUUCUCUGAUGUUAGCGGCGGACGGGUGAGUAACACGUGGAUAACCUACCUAUAAGACUGGGAUAACUUCGGGAAACCGGAGCUAAUACCGGAUAAUAUUUUGAACCGCAUGGUUCAAAAGUGAAAGACGGUCUUGCUGUCACUAAUAGAUGGAUCCGCGCUGCAUUAGCUAGUUGGUAAGGUAACGGCUUACCAAGGCAACGAUGCAUAGCCGACCUGAGAGGGUGAUCCGCCACACUGGAACUGAGACACGGUCCAGACUCCGACGGGAGGCAGCAGUAGGGAAUCUUCCGCAAUGGGCGAAAGCCUGACGGAGCAACGCCGCGUGAGUGAUGAAGGUCUUCGGAUCGUAAAACUCUGUUAUUAGGGAAGAACAUAUGUGUAAGUAACUGUGCACAUCUUGACGGUACCUAAUCAGAAAGCCACGGCUAACUACGUG